GCCGGAGUGGUGGAACUGGUAGACACGAGGGACUUAAAAUCCCUUGCUUUCACGAGCGUACGGGUUCGAUUCCCGUCUCUGGUACCA
RNAcentral lists this transfer RNA (87 nucleotides) under Hymenobacter volaticus. RNAcentral's name for it is "Hymenobacter sp. 5420S-77 tRNA-Leu". It matches the Rfam family "tRNA". Rfam says of the family: Transfer RNA (tRNA) molecules are approximately 80 nucleotides in length. The record is from RNAcentral. Lineage: Bacteria; Pseudomonadati; Bacteroidota; Cytophagia; Cytophagales; Hymenobacteraceae.